Molecule: ribosomal RNA, 331 nt
Filed under: Cutibacterium acnes
Lineage: Bacteria; Bacillati; Actinomycetota; Actinomycetes; Propionibacteriales; Propionibacteriaceae
Description: bacterial SSU rRNA
Rfam family: Bacterial small subunit ribosomal RNA
Source: RNAcentral
GGGGUGCUCGAGUGGCGAACGGGUGAGUAACACGUGAGUAACCUGCCCUUGACUUUGGGAUAACUUCAGGAAACUGGGGCUAAUACCGGAUAGGAGCUCCUGCUGCAUGGUGGGGGUUGGAAAGUUUCGGCGGUUGGGGAUGGACUCGCGGCUUAUCAGCUUGUUGGUGGGGUAGUGGCUUACCAAGGCUUUGACGGGUAGCCGGCCUGAGAGGGUGACCGGCCACAUUGGGACUGAGAUACGGCCCAGACUCCUACGGGAGGCAGCAGUGGGGAAUAUUGCACAAUGGGCGGAAGCCUGAUGCAGCAACGCCGCGUGCGGGAUGACGGCC